GGGAAUAACUGUCUUAAUUAAGUUAUAUAGAAAUUACUUAGUGAGUGAAAAAUCUCAUAUAUAGAAGAAAGACGAGAAGACCCUAGAAAUUUUUUACAAGUAUAUUUUACAUAUUCUAUUUUGUUGGGGCGACAUAGUAACAGUUAACUUACUAUUUAACAUGCUAUUUAUAAAUAGGAAGAAUAAAUUACUCUAGGGAUAACAGCAUUAUUCAAUUUGAGUUUGUGACCUCGAUGUUGGACUA
This 244-nucleotide ribosomal RNA is filed under the name Trochulus sp. AD-2010a. RNAcentral describes it as "partial 16S ribosomal RNA". The record is from RNAcentral. Lineage: Eukaryota; Metazoa; Mollusca; Gastropoda; Stylommatophora; Hygromiidae.